This 379-nucleotide unclassified non-coding RNA is filed under the name soil metagenome. RNAcentral describes it as "partial contains 5.8S ribosomal RNA, internal transcribed spacer 2, and large subunit ribosomal RNA". The stretch from base 1 to 120 matches the Rfam family "5.8S ribosomal RNA", at positions 35 to 154 of the family's 154-position model. The record is from RNAcentral.
GAUGAAGAACGUAGCGAAGUGCGAUAAGUAAUGUGAAUUGCAGAAUUCCGUGAAUCAUCGAAUCUUUGAACGCAAAUUGCACUUUCUGGCAUUCCGGAGAGUAUGCCUGUUUGAGUGUCAGUGUAAUAAAAAUAAAUCGUGGUUGUUACCACUUUUCGUGGUGACGCUUCGGAAUUGAGUCGUCUUACCUUCGGUUAAGUGACUUAAAAUUUUUUCAUACGAUUUCGAAACGUAUUUAAUGUAUUAUGUAUGUUCACGAAUAUCGAAUGUUUAUUAGGUGCGGUCAUUUUCAUGAAAUCGUGUCUAUAAUUUUUUUUUUUUUUGACCUCAAAUCAGGUAAGAAUACCCGCUGAACUUAAGCAUAUCAAUAAGCGGAGGA